RNAcentral lists this unclassified non-coding RNA (331 nucleotides) under soil metagenome. Its description in RNAcentral is "partial contains 5.8S ribosomal RNA, internal transcribed spacer 2, and large subunit ribosomal RNA". The stretch from base 1 to 120 matches the Rfam family "5.8S ribosomal RNA", at positions 35 to 154 of the family's 154-position model. The record is from RNAcentral.
GAUGAAGAACGUAGCGAAAUGCGAUAAGUAAUGUGAAUUGCAGAAUUCAGUGAAUCAUCGAAUCUUUGAAUGCACAUUGCGCCCCCUGGUAUUCCGGGGGGCAUGCCUGUUCGAGCGUCAUUUCACCACUCAAGCCUCGCUUGGUAUUGGGCAACGCGGUCCGCCGCGUGCCUCAAAUCGACCGGCUGGGUCUUCUGUCCCCUAAGCGUUGUGGAAACUAUUCGCUAAAGGGUGUUCGGGAGGCUACGCCGUAAAACAACCCCAUUUCUAAGGUUGACCUCGGAUCAGGUAGGGAUACCCGCUGAACUUAAGCAUAUCAAUAAGCGGAGGA